AGUUUGAUCAUGGCUCAGGAUGAACGCUAGCGGGAGGCUUAACGCAUGCAAGUCGAGGGGUAUAAGUAGCAAUAUUUAGAGACCGGCGCACGGGUGAGUAACGCGUAUGCAACCUGCCCUUUACAGGGGGAUAGCCCGUAGAAAUGCGGAUUAAUACCCCAUAGUACUAUUAGAUCGCAUGGCUUGAUAGUUAAAGUUUCGGCGGUAAAGGAUGGGCAUGCGUGACAUUAGCUAGUUGGAGAGGUAACGGCUCACCAAGGCUACGAUGUCUAGGGGUUCUGAGAGGAAGAUCCCCCACACUGGUACUGAGACACGGACCAGACUCCUACGGGAGGCAGCAGUGAGGAAUAUUGGUCAAUGGGCGAGAGCCUGAACCAGCCAUCCCGCGUGCAGGAAGAAUGCCCUAUGGGUUGUAAACUGCUUUUUCGCAUGAAGAACACUCCGGACGUGUCUGGAGCUGACGGUAAUGCGUGAAUAAGCACCGGCUAACUACGUGCCAGCAGCCGCGGUAAUACGUAGGGUGCGAGCGUUAAUCGGAAUUACUGGG
This 547-nucleotide ribosomal RNA is filed under the name uncultured bacterium. RNAcentral's name for it is "bacterial SSU rRNA". It matches the Rfam family "Bacterial small subunit ribosomal RNA", at positions 10 to 558 of the family's 1533-position model. The record is from RNAcentral.